This 63-nucleotide transfer RNA is filed under the name Eutreptiella gymnastica. Lineage: Eukaryota; Euglenozoa; Euglenophyceae; Eutreptiales; Eutreptiaceae. The record is from RNAcentral.
GUGGUGUAGUGUAGCAGGUUAGGCACCAGUCUUCUAGGUGAAAAGGGGCAGGUUCAAUUCCCA